AAAGGCCAAUCAAACCGGGAGAUAGCUGGUUCUCCCCGAAAGCUAUUUAGGUAGCGCCUUGAGUGGACAUCUUCGGGGGUAGAGCACUGUUUCGGCUAGGGGUCCAUCCCGGAUUACCAACCCGAUGCAAACUACGAAUACCGAAGAGUGAUACUCAGGAGACACACGGCGGGUGCUAACGUCCGUCGUGGAGAGGGAAACAACCCAGACCGCCAGCUAAGGUCCCAAAGUCUAUAUUAAGUGGGAAACGAAGUGGGAAGGCUUAGACAGCCAGGAUGUUGGCUUAGAAGCAGCCAUCAUUUAAAGAAAGCGUAAUAGCUCACUAGUCGAGUCGGCCUGCGCGGAAGAUGUAACGGGGCUCAAAUAUAGCACCGAAGCUGCGGCAUCAGACGAAAGUCUGUUGGGUAGGGGAGCGUUCUGUAAGCGGAUGAAGGUGGUUCGAGAGGGCUGCUGGACGUAUCAGAAGUGCGAAUGCUGACAUAAGUAACGAUAAAACGGGUGAAAAACCCGUUCGCCGGAAGACCAAGGGUUCCUGUCCAACGUUAAUCGGGGCAGGGUGAGUCGGCCCCUAAGGCGAGGCUGAAAAGCGUAGUCGAUGGGAAACGGGUUAAUAUUCCCGUACUUGGAUAAACUGCGAUGUGGGGACGGAGCAGGUUAGGUUAUCGCACUGUUGGAUAUGUGCGUUUAAGUUUGUAGGUGUGAAGUUUAGGCAAAUCCGGACUUCUUUAACACUGAGAGAUGAUGACGAGGCUCUACGGAGCUGAAGUAACCGAUACCACACUUCCAGGAAAAGCCACUAAGCUUCAGGUUUAUCUAAACCGUACUGAAAACCGACACAGGUGGUCAGGUAGAGAAUACUCAGGCGCUUGAGAGAACUCGGGUGAAGGAACUAGGCAAAAUAGCACCGUAACUUCGGGAGAAGGUGCGCCGGCGUAGAUUGUAGUCCCUUGCGGGCGAAGGUUGAACCGGUCGAAGAUACCAGCUGGCUGCAACUGUUUAUUAAAAACACAGCACUCUGCAAACACGAAAGUGGACGUAUACGGUGUGACGCCUGCCCGGUGCUGGAAGGUUAAUUGAUGGUGUAAUCGAAAGAGAAGCUCCUGAUCGAAGCCCCAGUAAACGGCGGCCGUAACUAUAACGGUCCUAAGGUAGCGAAAUUCCUUGUCGGGUAAGUUCCGACCUGCACGAAUGGCAUAAUGAUGGCCAGGCUGUCUCCACCCGAGACUCAGUGAAAUUGAAAUCGCCGUGAAGAUGCGGUGUACCCGCGGCUAGACGGAAAGACCCCGUGAACCUUUACUAUAGCUUGACACUGAACAUUGAAUUUUGAUGUGUAGGAUAGGUGGGAGACUUUGAAGAUGAUACGCCAGUAUUGUUGGAGUCGUCCUUGAAAUACCACCCUUUAACGUUUGAUGUUCUAAC
This 1419-nucleotide ribosomal RNA is filed under the name human gut metagenome. RNAcentral's name for it is "bacterial LSU rRNA". It matches the Rfam family "Bacterial large subunit ribosomal RNA", at positions 824 to 2226 of the family's 2925-position model. The record is from RNAcentral.